RNAcentral lists this transfer RNA (73 nucleotides) under Paramuricea clavata. It matches the Rfam family "tRNA". Rfam says of the family: Transfer RNA (tRNA) molecules are approximately 80 nucleotides in length. Their secondary structure includes four short double-helical elements and three loops (D, anti-codon, and T loops). Lineage: Eukaryota; Metazoa; Cnidaria; Anthozoa; Malacalcyonacea; Plexauridae. The record is from Rfam by way of RNAcentral.
GACUGCUUAGCUCAGUUGGAAGAGCAUUGGGCUAGUAUUCCAAAGGUCGUAGGUUCGAAUCCCACCGUAGCCA